RNAcentral lists this ribosomal RNA (406 nucleotides) under Heterokrohnia davidi. RNAcentral describes it as "partial 16S ribosomal RNA". The record is from RNAcentral. Lineage: Eukaryota; Metazoa; Chaetognatha; Sagittoidea; Monophragmophora; Heterokrohniidae.
UUUUGUAUUUGUCUAAUAGAUAUCCUCUGCCCAGUUGUCGCAACGGCCAAAGUAUACUGACUUUGCUAAGGUAGCAUAAUUAAUUGCCAUCUAAUUAAUGGAUUGUUUGAAUGAGGGAAUAAGUUUGAUAGUAUAAAUAGUAAAUAAAAAAUUUAUAAAUUUAUUGAAAAUAAUAAUAUUAUAAUUUAAGACGAUAAGACCCUUAAACCUAUUUAGAAUUUGUUGGGGAAACAAAAUUAGAAAUUGAUUUCACAUCUUUUUUAAAAAUAUAGGUACUUUAGGGAUAACAGCAUAAUAUUUUUUUUGUAGAUCUUAUAUGAAAAAAAGAGUAUGACCUCGAUGUUGAACUAGAAUAAGAUCUCGCUGUAGAAGGUGAGGUUACAGGACUGUUCGCCCUUAUAUUUCU